GUACUCUCAAGCUCUGCUUGGUGUUGGGUGCUUGUCCUGUCCCCUGCGGUAGGACUCGCCUAAAAGUAAUUGGCAGCUAGGUAUCCGGUAGUAGAGCGCAGCACAAAUUGCGAUGUACGCCGGCAUAAUCAGCAUCCAUUAAGCAUAUAAACAC
RNAcentral lists this unclassified non-coding RNA (154 nucleotides) under uncultured Phaeosphaeria. Its description in RNAcentral is "sequence contains ITS2". Lineage: Eukaryota; Fungi; Ascomycota; Dothideomycetes; Pleosporales; Phaeosphaeriaceae. The record is from RNAcentral.